RNAcentral lists this long non-coding RNA (1039 nucleotides) under Lathyrus oleraceus (garden pea). Its description in RNAcentral is "Pisum sativum (pea) long non-coding RNA (PSAT_LNC014587)". The record is from RNAcentral. Lineage: Eukaryota; Viridiplantae; Streptophyta; Magnoliopsida; Fabales; Fabaceae.
UAAUUUUUAAAAUUUGUGGUCCUCUCACCUAUAUAUUUUACAAUUUUCAAAAUUUGUGGUCCUCUCACCUAUAUAUUUUACAAUUUUCAUUUUUCUUAGCAAUGUAAUACUUUUAGCUCACACUUUUAUCAGAAUAAUCUCUCUCAAGUGUGAAUUCAUUGAUUUAUAUUCUCCCAAAACUCUUCUCAUCCCUCACUUUUACACUACAAAACUCUUGUCUCUACUCAACAUAUUAAUCCACAUAAAACCACAAAACACUACACUAUAACAUACUGAAAGUUUCAAAACACCAUACUCUUCCAACCUGCAUCACCAUCGAUCGCCGCAACAAUACCAUACACCACCAUAUGCCGGUUGUUCUCCCUCCUGCUAACCAACGUCCGCUGCCACCAGAACUGCCAUUUUCAACCCUUUACCACCUAACUGCUUCCUUUCCAAAACACUCUGACACCCUUCUUUCAUCGGCCACCGAACCUCACAACAACCUUUUCCACCACUAACUCGCGACCGUAAAAACCACCCUCCGAUAUAUCACCAUGCCCAAUAAAUAACUGCAAACUCACCGACAAAUGUGAAACCACCAAAAACCACUCUCUUCUCCUCCGAGAUUCACGCGCCACCGCCGUUCACAGUCAUUUUCCGGUGAUAAAUAAAGCAGAACACUACAACGCCAUGUAGUUCCUUUUUUCUUUUGAUUUUCAUCUUUGUUUGAUUGUUGUUUUGUCGUGGAUUAAGUUUGAACAGGGAGAUGUUGGUUUAAGAAAAAAAAGUUAAUGUUGAGAAAGAAGAAAAGAGAUCCAUGAGGAGAAGUUGGUUUCCCCUCCGCUUGUGUUCUGUUUCGAGAGAGAGAGAGUUUGUGGUUUUUAAAAAAAAAAUCUGUGUUGUUGUUUCAAAGUGCAUACGCGAGGAAGGCGAAGAAGGCAGAUUUUUAUUUUAUUUUUUCUUUCCCACUGCCACGCGUCAUCAUGUGAGUGGAGGCUUAAAAUUUUAAUUUCAAAAUUUUAAUAUUUUUUCACUCUCCUCUCUCUUCAGGAUCGAC